This is a non-coding RNA of Cinara cedri, 240 nucleotides long. The record is from the annotation of a GenBank genome assembly. NCBI's taxonomy places the organism in Eukaryota, Metazoa, Arthropoda, Insecta, Hemiptera, Aphididae.
AUAAUUGUAUAGAAUUAUUAUAAUUUUAUACGAAUCUUUAAAUUUAUCGCAAAUACUGUUAUUUGAAUAUUAUUUUAAAGAGCGAUAUUUCAAAUUUUAGAAACAUUAGCCUUCAUUUAAAGGUACAAAUCGAGAAAUUUUCUUAAAACCUUAGAACGUUAGCGUAGUACAAGGAGUUAAAAAGUAUAGAUAUCUCUUCUGACCACGUAGGUUUCUCUAAUAAUCAUUUUAGAUUCUGAG